Molecule: ribosomal RNA, 253 nt
Filed under: uncultured bacterium
Lineage: Bacteria
Description: partial 16S ribosomal RNA
Rfam family: Bacterial small subunit ribosomal RNA
Source: RNAcentral
UACGUGGGGGGCAAGCGUUGUUCGGAAUUACUGGGCGUAAAGGGCGUGUAGGUGGCCAACUAAGUCCGACGUGAAAUCCCCAGGCUUAACCUGGGAACUGCGUCGGAUACUGGAUGGCUUGAAUUCGGGAGAGGAAUGCAGAAUUCCAGAUGCAACGGUGAAAUGCGUAGAUAUCUGGAGGAACACCAAUGGCGAAGGCAGCUCGCUGGGACGUUACUGACGCUGAGACGCGAAAGCGUGGGGAGCAAACAGG